CAGCAGCCCGCGGUAAUACGGAGGGUGCGAGCGUUAAUCGGAAUGACUGGGCGUAAAGGGCAUGUAGGUGGGUCAUUAAGUAGGUGUGAAAUCCCCGGGCUCAACCUGGGAACAGCACUUAAAACUGGUGGUCUAGAGUAUUGUAGAGGAAGGUAGAAUUCCAUGUGUAGCGGUGAAAUGCGUAGAGAUGUGGAGGAAUACCGGUGGCGAAGGCGGCCUUCUGGACAAAUACUGACGCUGAGAUGCGAAAGCGUGGGGAGCAAACAGGAUUAGAUACCCUGGUAGUCCACGCUGUAAACGAUGUCGAUUUGGAGUUUGGUGGCAUGACUGCUGGGCUCCGAAGCUAACGCGUUAAAUCGACCGCCUGGGGAGUACGGCCGCAAGGUUAAAACUCAAAUGAAUUGACGGGGGCCCGCACAAGCGGUGGAGCAUGUGGUUUAAUUCGAUGCAACGCGAAGAACCUUACCUGGUCUUGACAUCCACAGAAUUUUGUAGAGAUACGAAAGUGCCUUAGGGAGCUGUGAGACAGGUGCUGCAUGGCUGUCGUCAGCUCGUGUUGUGAAAUGUUGGGUUAAGUCCCGCAACGAGCGCAACCCUUAUCCUUUGUUGCCAUCGGUUAGGCCGGGAACUCAAAGGAGACUGCCGUUGAUAAAGCGGAGGAAGGUGGGGACGACGUCAAGUCAUCAUGGCCCUUACGACCAGGGCUACACACGUGCUACAAUGGCGCAUACAAAGAGAAGCAAACCAGCGAUGGCAAGCGGACCUCAUAAAGUGCGUCUAAGUUCGGAUUGGAGUCUGCAACUCGACUCCAUGAAGUCGGAAUCGCUAGUAAUCGUGAAUCAGAAUGUCACGGUGAAUACGUUCCCGGGCCUUGUACACACCGCCCGUCACAACCAUGGGAGUGGGUUGCACCAGAAGUAGAUAGCUUAAC
Molecule: ribosomal RNA, 931 nt
Filed under: uncultured bacterium
Lineage: Bacteria
Description: bacterial SSU rRNA
Rfam family: Bacterial small subunit ribosomal RNA
Source: RNAcentral